RNAcentral lists this transfer RNA (65 nucleotides) under Hemiechinus auritus (long-eared hedgehog). Its description in RNAcentral is "tRNA-Lys". Lineage: Eukaryota; Metazoa; Chordata; Mammalia; Eulipotyphla; Erinaceidae. The record is from RNAcentral.
CACUAAGAAGCUAGUAGCAUUAACCUUUUAAGUUAAAGAUAGGAGACCUUAAAUUCCCUUAGUGU